Molecule: ribosomal RNA, 468 nt
Filed under: uncultured bacterium
Lineage: Bacteria
Description: partial 16S ribosomal RNA
Rfam family: Bacterial small subunit ribosomal RNA
Source: RNAcentral
GACGAACGCUGGCGGCGUGCUUAACACAUGCAAGUCGAACGGAAAGGCCCUGCUUUUGUGGGGUGCUCGAGUGGCGAACGGGUGAGUAACACGUGAGUAACCUGCCCUUGACUUUGGGAUAACUUCAGGAAACUGGGGCUAAUACCGGAUAGGAGCUCCUGCUGCAUGGUGGGGGUUGGAAAGUUUCGGCGGUUGGGGAUGGACUGGCGGCUUAUCAGCUUGUUGGUGGGGUAGUGGCUUACCAAGGCUUUGACGGGUAGCCGGCCUGAGAGGGUGACCGGCCACAUUGGUACUGAGAUACGGCCCAGACUCCUACGGGAGGCAGCAGUGGGGAAUAUUGCCCAAUGGGCGGAAGCCUGAUGCAGCAGCGCCGCGUGCGGGAUGACGGCCUUCGGGUUGUAAACCGCUUUCGCCUGUGACGAAGCGUGAGUGACGGUAAUGGGUAAAGAAGCACCGGCUAACUACGUG